This 2919-nucleotide ribosomal RNA is filed under the name Bacillus cereus. RNAcentral describes it as "23S ribosomal RNA". It matches the Rfam family "Bacterial large subunit ribosomal RNA". The record is from RNAcentral. Lineage: Bacteria; Bacillati; Bacillota; Bacilli; Caryophanales; Bacillaceae.
UUAAGUUAGAAAGGGCGCACGGUGGAUGCCUUGACACUAGGAGUCGAUGAAGGACGGGACUAACGCCGAUAUGCUUCGGGGAGCUGUAAGUAAGCUUUGAUCCGAAGAUUUCCGAAUGGGGAAACCCACCAUACGUAAUGGUAUGGUAUCCUUAUCUGAAUACAUAGGGUAAGGAAGACAGACCCAGGGAACUGAAACAUCUAAGUACCUGGAGGAAGAGAAAGCAAAUGCGAUUUCCUGAGUAGCGGCGAGCGAAACGGAACAUAGCCCAAACCAAGAGGCUUGCCUCUUGGGGUUGUAGGACAUUCUAUACGGAGUUACAAAGGAACGAGGUAGACGAAGCGACCUGGAAAGGUCCGUCGUAGAGGGUAACAACCCCGUAGUCGAAACUUCGUUCUCUCUUGAAUGUAUCCUGAGUACGGCGGAACACGUGAAAUUCCGUCGGAAUCUGGGAGGACCAUCUCCCAAGGCUAAAUACUCCCUAGUGAUCGAUAGUGAACCAGUACCGUGAGGGAAAGGUGAAAAGCACCCCGGAAGGGGAGUGAAAGAGAUCCUGAAACCGUGUGCCUACAAAUAGUCAGAGCCCGUUAACGGGUGAUGGCGUGCCUUUUGUAGAAUGAACCGGCGAGUUACGAUCCCGUGCGAGGUUAAGCUGAAGAGGCGGAGCCGCAGCGAAAGCGAGUCUGAAUAGGGCGUUUAGUACGUGGUCGUAGACCCGAAACCAGGUGAUCUACCCAUGUCCAGGGUGAAGUUCAGGUAACACUGAAUGGAGGCCCGAACCCACGCACGUUGAAAAGUGCGGGGAUGAGGUGUGGGUAGCGGAGAAAUUCCAAUCGAACCUGGAGAUAGCUGGUUCUCCCCGAAAUAGCUUUAGGGCUAGCCUUAAGUGUAAGAGUCUUGGAGGUAGAGCACUGAUUGGACUAGGGGUCCUCAUCGGAUUACCGAAUUCAGUCAAACUCCGAAUGCCAAUGACUUAUCCUUAGGAGUCAGACUGCGAGUGAUAAGAUCCGUAGUCAAAAGGGAAACAGCCCAGACCGCCAGCUAAGGUCCCAAAGUGUGUAUUAAGUGGAAAAGGAUGUGGAGUUGCUUAGACAACUAGGAUGUUGGCUUAGAAGCAGCCACCAUUUAAAGAGUGCGUAAUAGCUCACUAGUCGAGUGACUCUGCGCCGAAAAUGUACCGGGGCUAAAUACACCACCGAAGCUGCGGAUUGAUACCAAUGGUAUCAGUGGUAGGGGAGCGUUCUAAGGACAGUGAAGUCAGACCGGAAGGACUGGUGGAGUGCUUAGAAGUGAGAAUGCCGGUAUGAGUAGCGAAAGACGGGUGAGAAUCCCGUCCACCGAAUGCCUAAGGUUUCCUGAGGAAGGCUCGUCCGCUCAGGGUUAGUCAGGACCUAAGCCGAGGCCGACAGGCGUAGGCGAUGGACAACAGGUUGAUAUUCCUGUACCACCUCUUUAUCGUUUGAGCAAUGGAGGGACGCAGAAGGAUAGAAGAAGCGUGCGAUUGGUUGUGCACGUCCAAGCAGUUAGGCUGAUAAGUAGGCAAAUCCGCUUAUCGUAAAGGCUGAGCUGUGAUGGGGAAGCUCCUUAUGGAGCGAAGUCUUUGAUUCCCCGCUGCCAAGAAAAGCUUCUAGCGAGAUAAAAGGUGCCUGUACCGCAAACCGACACAGGUAGGCGAGGAGAGAAUCCUAAGGUGUGCGAGAGAACUCUGGUUAAGGAACUCGGCAAAAUGACCCCGUAACUUCGGGAGAAGGGGUGCUUUCUUAACGGAAAGCCGCAGUGAAUAGGCCCAAGCGACUGUUUAGCAAAAACACAGCUCUCUGCGAAGCCGUAAGGCGAAGUAUAGGGGGUGACACCUGCCCGGUGCUGGAAGGUUAAGGAGAGGGGUUAGCGUAAGCGAAGCUCUGAACUGAAGCCCCAGUAAACGGCGGCCGUAACUAUAACGGUCCUAAGGUAGCGAAAUUCCUUGUCGGGUAAGUUCCGACCCGCACGAAAGGUGUAACGAUUUGGGCACUGUCUCAACCAGAGACUCGGUGAAAUUAUAGUACCUGUGAAGAUGCAGGUUACCCGCGACAGGACGGAAAGACCCCGUGGAGCUUUACUGUAGCCUGAUAUUGAAUUUUGGUACAGUUUGUACAGGAUAGGCGGGAGCCAUUGAAACCGGAGCGCUAGCUUCGGUGGAGGCGCUGGUGGGAUACCGCCCUGACUGUAUUGAAAUUCUAACCUACGGGUCUUAUCGACCCGGGAGACAGUGUCAGGUGGGCAGUUUGACUGGGGCGGUCGCCUCCUAAAGUGUAACGGAGGCGCCCAAAGGUUCCCUCAGAAUGGUUGGAAAUCAUUCGUAGAGUGCAAAGGCAUAAGGGAGCUUGACUGCGAGACCUACAAGUCGAGCAGGGACGAAAGUCGGGCUUAGUGAUCCGGUGGUUCCGCAUGGAAGGGCCAUCGCUCAACGGAUAAAAGCUACCCCGGGGAUAACAGGCUUAUCUCCCCCAAGAGUCCACAUCGACGGGGAGGUUUGGCACCUCGAUGUCGGCUCAUCGCAUCCUGGGGCUGUAGUCGGUCCCAAGGGUUGGGCUGUUCGCCCAUUAAAGCGGUACGCGAGCUGGGUUCAGAACGUCGUGAGACAGUUCGGUCCCUAUCCGUCGUGGGCGUAGGAAAUUUGAGAGGAGCUGUCCUUAGUACGAGAGGACCGGGAUGGACGCACCGCUGGUGUACCAGUUGUUCUGCCAAGGGCAUAGCUGGGUAGCUAUGUGCGGAAGGGAUAAGUGCUGAAAGCAUCUAAGCAUGAAGCCCCCCUCAAGAUGAGAUUUCCCAUAGCGUAAGCUAGUAAGAUCCCUGAAAGAUGAUCAGGUUGAUAGGUUCGAGGUGGAAGCAUGGUGACAUGUGGAGCUGACGAAUACUAAUAGAUCGAGGACUUAACCA